UUUGUGAAGAACUUAAGAAAUCUCUGGUUUUUUUCUGAUCUUUCUUCAGGUCGUAUUUGUCUCCCUGCAAACCUGAAAACCUUUCUGCUGAUCCCUGGGACAACAGUCCCUUCAAGUUGAUCACAGUGCAUGGAAAGAAGAAGUCCUCUCAGACAAACUACUUUGUUAAAGCCACCAAGGUGACCUGCUGUGCCCAGCUGUGGGCAGAAGGCAGCCUUUCCUGCACUGCCAAGGGAGUGUAGAAGCUGUCUGGCAUUGGCAUGCCUGGCAUUUCAUGCAUGGUGCCUAACACUAGCACAGUCAAGCCCAGGUUUCCAGGUAUGUUCUUUCUGGGCUUAAUUCUACCAUCAUGUACCAGAGCAAGUAGUAGCUUAUUCAUCAGUGAAUUUCACUCAGUCUUAGUCAGGGAGAUGGAAUUGGUCCUACAAAAGCAACAAUAGCUUUUUACCUGCGUCCUUUCCAACACUCCCUGUGUGGUCUUCCCACCACAGUAACAAACAGAAGCUCCCAGAAAGCGCCAGCAAGUUCAGAGAGAUCUGGCUCCUCAAGUUUGAAUUUUAUCAGGUAGUGUUUGCUUUAAGACCUUGAGCUACAAAAUAUCCUUUCUAGUAUUGAACUCCUGGGAAGACCUAAACCCUUCAAUGCAAUGGAGAACUAAACACUUUUAAAUAUACUUAUCUAAUGGAUGUUAGUACUGACUUUUGUGCAUGCAGCUUCUAACAUGAAUCUACCUAGCCUCUGCUUUCAGAGACCAAAGAUUAAAAUUACUUCAUCUUCUAGUCAAGAAGUCCUUAUAUUUGAUAACAGGAGUGGAUUACAAUCUCUCCCACUCUCCCUGCUAUUACCCUUCCAUCUGUUCCUGCUCAACAUAUAUGUUCUGGACAUAUAUGGACAUUGAGGAAGAGGUUUUGUGCCUACCAGCAGCUACAGUACUUGUGUGACUACUUCAGCCUGGUGCAUGGUGAUCAAGUGAAGCCAUGGGUUAAUAGCUGAAUAACUGAGCACAGCACCUCAGUACCAGCUUGCUCUGUGUGCAGUGCCUCAUCUCAGGUAUUUCUGAAAUACUUUUCUGACUUUUUAUUCUCUUUCAUUUAGGUCACAUCCAACUCCAUAUUGCAAGGUGCUGAGUAACAGCUUAUGAUCUCUAACACGUAAUGGCUCCAGGGUUUGUUUACCAACAUCCACUGGAGACUCCAGCUUUUCUGUAGAAACAGAAACUGAGCCCAGGCUUAUCCAGAUGAAAAGUUGCAGAAAUUUUAAGGAAGCCCAGAAGUCCACAUGGACUCCACAUCCAUAGAGAAGACAGCCACAGCUCAGCUUCCUGUUUUACCUCUUGGACUGCUGUGUCCCUCUGAGACAGACUCCAUUGAGAUCUCUGUGAAAUGGAUGAUGUGACUUACCAGUAUCAUACAAGCUGUUCCAAGAAUAUCAGCAGGCGGACCGGAGACUUUCCUGAGAAGGUUUUACCCAGUGAUGGAAAAUAUAUUUGUGUUAUUACUUUAGCACAAGUGUCUUCUAUAAUGCUAAGGUUUACUUUCAAAUAAAACAUAAAUUGCA
Vidua chalybeata is the source of this 1557-nucleotide long non-coding RNA. RefSeq lists it as uncharacterized. NCBI's taxonomy places the organism in Eukaryota, Metazoa, Chordata, Aves, Passeriformes, Viduidae. The transcript is spliced from 4 exons. The record is from RefSeq and is a predicted model, not a curated record.